AAACUAACAAGGAUUCCCCUAGUAACGGCGAGUGAACCGGGAAGAGCUCAAAUUUGAAAUCUGGCGUCCUCAGGGCGUCCGAGUUGUAAUCUAUAGAGGCGUUUUCCGUGCCGGACCGUGUCCAAGUUCCUUGGAACAGGAUAUCAAAGAGGGUGACAAUCCCGUACUUGACACGAUGACCGGUGCUCUGUGAUACGUCUUCUACGAGUCGAGUUGUUUGGGAAUGCAGCUCAAAAUGGGUGGUGAGUUCCAUCUAAAGCUAAAUAUUGGCGAGAGACCGAUAGCGAACAAGUACCGUGAGGGAAAGAUGAAAAGCACUUUGGAAAGAGAGUUAAACAGUACGUGAAAUUGUUGAAAGGGAAACGAUUGAAGUCAGUCGUGACUGAGAGGCUCAGCCGGUUCUGCCGGUGUAUUCCCCUCAGUCGGGUCAACAUCAGUUUUGUCCGGUGGAAAAGGGCGGUAGGAACGUGGCACCUCCGGGUGUGUUAUAGCCUGCCGUCGCAUACAUCGGGUGAGACUGAGGAAUGCAGCUCGCCUUUAUGGCCGGGGUUCGCCCACGUCCGAGCUUAGGAUGUUGACAUAAUGGCUUUAAACGACCCGUCUUGAACCACG
Molecule: ribosomal RNA, 612 nt
Filed under: Papiliotrema rajasthanensis
Lineage: Eukaryota; Fungi; Basidiomycota; Tremellomycetes; Tremellales; Rhynchogastremaceae
Description: LSU rRNA
Rfam family: Eukaryotic large subunit ribosomal RNA
Source: RNAcentral